AAAAAGAUGCCUGACUAAAGGAAUAUUCUGAUAGAAUAUAUAAAGAAAGUUAUUUUUCUCUUUUUA
This 66-nucleotide transfer RNA is filed under the name Ishiharodelphax matsuyamensis. RNAcentral describes it as "tRNA-Ile". The record is from RNAcentral. Lineage: Eukaryota; Metazoa; Arthropoda; Insecta; Hemiptera; Delphacidae.